Molecule: ribosomal RNA, 274 nt
Filed under: uncultured bacterium
Lineage: Bacteria
Description: partial 16S ribosomal RNA
Rfam family: Bacterial small subunit ribosomal RNA
Source: RNAcentral
AUACGGAGGGUGCAAGCGUUAUUCGGAAUCACUGGGCGUAAAGGACGCGUAGGCGGGUUGGCAAGUCAGAUGUGAAAUCCUACAGCUUAACUGUAGAACUGCAUUUGAAACUGCUAACCUAGAGUAUGGGAGGGGGAGAUGGAAUUAGUGGUGUAGGGGUAAAAUCCGUAGAUAUCACUAGGAAUACCGAAAGCGAAGGCGAUCUCCUGGAACAUAACUGACGCUAAGGCGUGAAAGCGUGGGGAGCAAACAGGAAUAGAAACCCUUGUAGUCC